Molecule: transfer RNA, 72 nt
Filed under: Schistosoma mansoni
Lineage: Eukaryota; Metazoa; Platyhelminthes; Trematoda; Strigeidida; Schistosomatidae
Source: RNAcentral
GAUUCAAUAGCUAAGUGCAUAAAGUGAUGGUGUUUGAAGCGAAAGGUACUGGGUUCGAGUCCCAGAUUGAAC